Molecule: unclassified non-coding RNA, 433 nt
Filed under: soil metagenome
Description: partial contains 5.8S ribosomal RNA, internal transcribed spacer 2, and large subunit ribosomal RNA
Rfam family: 5.8S ribosomal RNA (bases 1-120)
Source: RNAcentral
GAUGAAGAACGCAGCGAAAUGCGAUACGUAAUGUGAAUUGCAGAAUUCAGUGAAUCAUCGAAUCUUUGAACGCAUAUUGCGCUCUCUGGUAUUCCGGAGAGCAUGCUUGUUUGAGUAUCAGUAAACACCUCAACUUCCAUAUCUUUUUUGAAAUGGGAGUUGGACUUGAGUGAUCCCAACGCUUUUCCUCACCGAAAAGUGGCGGGUUACUUGAAAUGCAGGUGCAGCUGGACUUUUCUCUGAGCUAUAAGCAUAUCUAUUUAGUCUGCCUAAAAAACAGAUUAUUACCUUUGCUGCAGCUAACAUAAAGGUGAUUAGUUCUUGUGCUGACUGAUGCAGGAUUCACAAAGACAGGCUUCGGCCGACUUUGUAAACUCGAUCUCAAAUCAAGUAAGACUACCCGCUGAACUUAAGCAUAUCAAUAAGCGGAGGA